GUGUUCGCUUCAGCAGCGCGUGUACUAAAAUUGGAACGAUACGGGGAAGAUUAACAUGGCCUCUGCGCAAGGAUGACAUGCAAAUUCGUGAAGCGUUCCGUAUUUUU
Molecule: small nuclear RNA, 107 nt
Filed under: Dasypus novemcinctus (nine-banded armadillo)
Lineage: Eukaryota; Metazoa; Chordata; Mammalia; Cingulata; Dasypodidae
Source: RNAcentral